Molecule: ribosomal RNA, 467 nt
Filed under: uncultured bacterium
Lineage: Bacteria
Description: bacterial SSU rRNA
Rfam family: Bacterial small subunit ribosomal RNA
Source: RNAcentral
UUCCAGACUCCUACGGGAGGCAGCAGUGAGGAAUAUUGGUCAAUGGCCGGAAGGCUGAACCAGCCAAGUCGCGUGAGGGAAUAAGGCCCUAUGGGUCGUAAACCUCUUUUGUCAGGGAGCAAAGGCGUCCACGUGUGGACGAGAGGAGAGUACCUGAAGAAAAAGCAUCGGCUAACUCCGUGCCAGCAGCCGCGGUAAUACGGAGGAUGCGAGCGUUAUCCGGAUUUAUUGGGUUUAAAGGGUGCGUAGGCGGAGUGUCAAGUCAGCGGUAAAAUUUCGGGGCUCAACCCCGUCGUGCCGUUGAAACUGACGCCCUUGAGUGAGUGAGAAGUAAGCGGAAUGCGUGGUGUAGCGGUGAAAUGCAUAGAUAUCACGAAGAACUCCGAUUGCGAAGGCAGCAUACGGCAGCGCUACUGACGCUGAAGCUCGAAGGCGCGGGUAUCGAACAGGAUUAGAUACCCUGGUAA